AUGACAAAAACCUUCUCCGGCAAGCAGCGGAUGAUGGCGAGCAUCGCUUGGCAGCGUUGCAUCGUCUACGGACUCAGGCGGCUCAACGACGUCCCCGGCAACUCCGACGAGAUGGCUUGCGACGUAGCUGGAGCUGGUGACGCCUUGCGGGCACCGAGUAGUGACGCUCCGGCCGGCAUUCUCCUCGAGCAACCAGCCGAUGAGUUCGAAGAAGAUGGUAACGUCGACGAGAGCGAGCGGACGUCAGUAAUUGUAGGGGAGGCUGCGACCGGCAAGGCGACGACGUCCAACGUAACUGAUGAUUCUGCUCAACUGCCAGUCAUGUUUGCUGGGAUUGUUGUGAAGGACAUUGUAAAGGUAGCCAUGUUGGUUGUGGCACAACCUCAAAGCUGUAUAAAUAUUCUGAUGAAGCUGUCGAUAAACGUACUACAGUCGAACACCGAGAGGCCGGUGUACUACAUAUUCCAUUUUUUAGUGCACAACCUCAAAGCUGUAUACUAUGGCCUGGUUUAGGGGGGUGUUA
This 523-nucleotide long non-coding RNA is filed under the name Oryza sativa Indica Group (long-grained rice). RNAcentral's name for it is "lncRNA OsZS97_02G031890". The record is from RNAcentral. Lineage: Eukaryota; Viridiplantae; Streptophyta; Magnoliopsida; Poales; Poaceae.